Molecule: long non-coding RNA, 756 nt
Filed under: Canis lupus familiaris (dog)
Lineage: Eukaryota; Metazoa; Chordata; Mammalia; Carnivora; Canidae
Description: lncRNA (ENSCAFG00030008459.1)
Source: RNAcentral
AGCACAAAUAAAGAUAAAUUUGAGAGCAUUUGGGACAAUUUCUAUGUCAAUGGAAGGCUUAAAGGUUCUUCCUUCUGUCUGCCUUAGGGGAGAAGCAAUAUGUUGAGAGCACAGCUAAUAAUGUAGUUUGCUUGUAAGGAACAUUUGCAAAGAUACAAUCAGAGAAUUUCAGUGGGAAAAGGAACUUUAAAAGUCAUCCAAUGCUAGGCUUUGGGUGUUUGGAUCUUUUCCAACAGGAAGGAAAAAAUGAAAUCUGAACACUGAGUGGUUGAGGGUCAGGACAGAUUCAGUUUUAGAUGUGACACAUAGGCACUGCCUCACAUGCUGCUUGCAGCUCUGAUGGUGUCAGAACCGGGUAAUCAGCCUUUGGUAAACUGAAACACUCCUUAAUUUCUUGACUCUCUCUCCCUGUCUUCACUGAAGACCAAGAGAGCAAGAUAGUGGGAAGGCAGAGGGAGAGGAAGAGAGAAUUUCAAGAAGACUCCCCACUGAGCACAGAGCCCAACUUGGGGCCCUAUCUACAACCCUGAGAUCAUGACCUGAGCCAAAAUCAAAAGUCAGAUACUUAACCGACUGAGCCACCCAGACGCUCUCCUCUUAAUUCUUACAAUGACCCUAUGAUGUAUAAGAGUUUUCAGUCCAAUUAAAAAAAUAUUACCCCCAAAUCCCAUGGCUGGUAAGUCGCAGAGCUUGGAUUCAAAUCCAAGUUCAGUGCUUUCCCCCUUAUUUUAAUGGCUAUUUUGAAUAUUAUUCAAU